This 549-nucleotide ribosomal RNA is filed under the name uncultured Glomus. RNAcentral's name for it is "SSU rRNA". It matches the Rfam family "Eukaryotic small subunit ribosomal RNA", at positions 548 to 1098 of the family's 1831-position model. The record is from RNAcentral. Lineage: Eukaryota; Fungi; Glomeromycota; Glomeromycetes; Glomerales; Glomeraceae.
UUGGAGGGCAAGUCUGGUGCCAGCAGCCGCGGUAAUUCCAGCUCCAAUAGCGUAUAUUAAAGUUGUUGCAGCUAAAAAGCUCGUAGUUGAAUUUCGGGGUUAGUAGGUUGGUCAUGCCUCUGGUAUGUACUGGUCUCACUGAUUCCUCCUUCCUGAUGAACCGUAAUGCCAUUAAUUUGGUGUUGCGGGGAAUUUGGACUGUUACUUUGAAAAAAUUAGAGUGUUUAAAGCAAGCUAACGCUUGAAUACAUUAGCAUGGAAUAAUGAAAUAGGACGUUCGAUCCUAUUUUGUUGGUUUCUAGGAUUGACGUAAUGAUUAAUAGGGAUAGUUGGGGGCAUUAGUAUUCAAUUGUCAGAGGUGAAAUUCUUGGAUUUAUUGAAGACUAACUACUGCGAAAGCAUUUGCCAAGGAUGUUUUCAUUAAUCAAGAACGAAAGUUAGGGGAUCGAAGACGAUCAGAUACCGUCGUAGUCUUAACCAUAAACUAUGCCGACUAGGGAUCGGAUGAUGUUAAUUUUUUAAUGACUCAUUCGGCGCCUUACGGGAAAC